This 464-nucleotide ribosomal RNA is filed under the name Escherichia coli. Its description in RNAcentral is "bacterial SSU rRNA". It matches the Rfam family "Bacterial small subunit ribosomal RNA", at positions 1 to 458 of the family's 1533-position model. The record is from RNAcentral. Lineage: Bacteria; Pseudomonadati; Pseudomonadota; Gammaproteobacteria; Enterobacterales; Enterobacteriaceae.
UUAAAUUGAAGAGUUUGAUCAUGGCUCAGAUUGAACGCUGGCGGCAGGCCUAACACAUGCAAGUCGAACGGUAACAGGAAGCAGCUUGCUGCUUCGCUGACGAGUGGCGGACGGGUGAGUAAUGUCUGGGAAACUGCCUGAUGGAGGGGGAUAACUACUGGAAACGGUAGCUAAUACCGCAUAACGUCGCAAGACCAAAGGGGGGGGACCUUCGGGCCUCUUGCCAUCGGAUGUGCCCAGAUGGGAUUAGCUUGUUGGUGGGGUAACGGCUCACCAAGGCGACGAUCCCUAGCUGGUCUGAGAGGAUGACCAGCCACACUGGAACUGAGACACGGUCCAGACUCCUACGGGAGGCAGCAGUGGGGAAUAUUGCACAAUGGGCGCAAGCCUGAUGCAGCCAUGCCGCGUGUAUGAAGAAGGCCUUCGGGUUGUAAAGUACUUUCAGCGGGGAGGAAGGGAGUAAA